AUAACAUCAUCCAGAAAUGAACGUAAAUUAUUUUAUCUUUGGUAAUUAUAUUUAUUUUCUACAGGAUUGAUCCCAUACUCUGAUGUGGCAUUAGGCCCAUGAUUUAGUGACAUUUUAAACUACAGAUGUAGAAUUUUAAUUUGAUCACCCUGUUGCAGGAGAUCUUUCCUGCAUUGCAGGACAUGUAAAACUUUGAGAUUUUAGACUUGAUUGUUCCUGUAGACUUGAUUGUAUCAAACUCUACCAAAAAAAAUGACAAUUAAUUAUAUUUAUCAUAAUACACAUUUAGCAAACUGGCUUAAAUUAAGAUUCUACACCUGUAUUGAGCUGUUGACAGCUACUGUUCAGUGUCAUCAUGUCCUUUUGAUUAUAGACUGGAUCUUUAUUCCAUCUAUGUCUAGUACACAGCAUAUGAAUCACGUGCAAAUUAAAGAUGUCUACAGAAAUGUCAUGUCUAUAGAGAGAUUGGUUUUCCAAUUAUUUAGCACUGAACACUUAAAUGAACACAUUGUUUAACAAUUUUUGAUGGACACAUACAUUAUACUGUAUUUCUUUUAUUUUCUCAGUUAUAAACGAUGGUAAUAUAAAACAAAUCUACAUCAACAUUUUGGCUAAACUUUAUUUGUUUGAAUUGAUAAUGAUUACAGAGUGUAAUCUAAUGGCUCUAUUCAAUCUGUAUCUCGGAGAUUCAACGUUACAGCGUGAUUGACAUUUAAAGGCAACGUUCCCACGUUAGGGGAGAAUGCAUUCAACGAGAAGCGAUGCAGAUUGAAUAGAGCCCUAAAAUGUGAUAUAUGAUACAAUAAAGUGUCGAUGUUAAAGUAUUGUGUGUUUUAACUGUAAAAAUUGCUCUUAUUGCUCCACCAAUAGCAGGCCUUAAUACAGUAAGAACCACCAAUAGCAGGCCUUAAUACAGUAAGAACCACCAAUAGCAGGCCUUAAUACAGUAAGAACCACCAAUAGUAGGCCUUAAUACAGUAAGAACCACCAAUAGUAGGCCUUAAUACAAUAAGAACCACCAAUAGCAGGCCUUAAUACAGUAAGAACCACCAAUAGUAGGCCUUAAUACAGUAAGAACCACCAAUAGUAGGCCUUAAUACAAUAAGAACCACCAAUAGCAGGCCUUAAUACAAUAAGAACCACCAAUAGCAGGCCUUAAUACAGUAAGAACCACCAAUAGCAGACCUUAAUACAGUAAGAACCACCAAUAGCAGGCCUUAAUACAGUAAGAACCACCAAUAGCAGGCCUUAAUACAGUAAGAACCAC
Molecule: long non-coding RNA, 1267 nt
Organism: Oncorhynchus tshawytscha (Chinook salmon)
Lineage: Eukaryota; Metazoa; Chordata; Actinopteri; Salmoniformes; Salmonidae
Source: Ensembl